This 499-nucleotide ribosomal RNA is filed under the name uncultured bacterium. RNAcentral describes it as "partial 16S ribosomal RNA". It matches the Rfam family "Bacterial small subunit ribosomal RNA", at positions 28 to 507 of the family's 1533-position model. The record is from RNAcentral.
GACGAACGCUGGCGGCGUGCCUAAUACAUGCAAGUCGAGCGAAGUUUUUCUGGUGCUUGCACCGGAAAAACUUAGCGGCGAACGGGUGAGUAACACGUAAAGAACCUGCCUUAUAGACUGGGACAACUAUUGGAAACGAUAGCUAAUACCGGAUAACAGCAUUAACUGCAUGGUUGAUGUUUGAAAGUUGGUUUUGCUAACACUAUGAGAUGGCUUUGCGGUGCAUCAGCUAGUUGGUGGGGUAAAGGCCUACCAAGGCGACGAUGCAUAGCCGACCUGAGAGGGUGAUCGGCCACACUGGGACUGAGACACGGCCCAGACUCCUACGGGAGGCAGCAGUAGGGAAUCUUCCGCAAUGGGCGAAAGCCUGACGGAGCAACGCCGCGUGAGUGAAGAAGGAUUUCGGUUCGUAAAGCUCUGUUGUUAGGGAAGAAUGAUUGUGUAGUAACUAUACACAGUAGAGACGGUACCUAACCAGAAAGCCACGGCUAACUACGUG